AUUGAACGCUGGCGGCAGGCCUAACACAUGCAAGUCGGACGGUAGCACAGAGGAGCUUGCUCCUCGGGUGACGAGUGGCGGACGGGUGAGUAAUGUCUGGGGAUCUGCCCGAUAGAGGGGGAUAACCACUGGAAACGGUGGCUAAUACCGCAUAACGUCGCAAGACCAAAGUGGGGGACCUUCGGGCCUCACACUAUCGGAUGUGCCCAGAUGGGAUUAGCUAGUAGGUGGGGUAAUGGCUCACCAAGGCGACGAUCCCUAGCUGGUCUGAGAGGAGUACCGGCCACACUGGAACUGAGCCACGGUCCAGACUCCUACGGGAGGCAGCAGUGGUGAAUAUUGCACAAUGGGCGCAAGCCUGAUGCAGCCAUGCCGCGUGUAUGAAGAAGGCCUUCGGGUUGUAAAGUACUUUCAGCGGGGAGGAAGGCGGUGAAGUUAAUAGCUUCACCGAUUGACGUUACCCGCAGAAGAAGCACCGGCUAACUCCGUGCCAGCCGCCGCCGUAA
Molecule: ribosomal RNA, 506 nt
Filed under: uncultured bacterium
Lineage: Bacteria
Description: partial 16S ribosomal RNA
Rfam family: Bacterial small subunit ribosomal RNA
Source: RNAcentral